UACGGAGGGAGCUAGCGUUGUUCGGAUAUACUGGGCGUAAAGCGCACGUAGGCGGCGCAGCAAGUCAGGGGUGAAAUCCCGGAGCUCAACUCCGGAACUGCCUUUGAAACUGCAGUGCUAGAAUUCUGGAGAGGCGAGUGGAAUUCCGAGUGUAGAGGUGAAAUUCGUAGAUAUUCGCAAGAACACCAGUGGCGAAGGCGGCUCACUGGCCCGAUACUGACGCUGAGGCACGAAAGCGUGGGGAGCAAACAGG
Molecule: ribosomal RNA, 253 nt
Filed under: uncultured bacterium
Lineage: Bacteria
Description: partial 16S ribosomal RNA
Rfam family: Bacterial small subunit ribosomal RNA
Source: RNAcentral